UUUCCGUAGGUGAACCUGCGGAAGGAUCAUUGACGAAGGCGAGAAUUGUAAAAAGAUUCUCGUUUGAUCAACCACAUUCCAAAAGUGCGAGUAUAGUAAAAAUGGGGAGACCCAUUUACGAUGUAUGUAUUAACAAAACAAAACUUUCAACAACGGAUCUCUUGGCUCUCGCAUCGAUGAAGAACGUAGCGAAGUGCGAUAAGUAAUGUGAAUUGCAGAAUUCCGUGGAUCAUCGAAUUUUUGAACGCAAAUUGCACUUCCUGGCAACCCGGGGAGUAUGCCUGUUUGAGGGUCAGUAUUAAUAAAAAUCGGCGUGUUGCUCUUUUGUGACGUUCCGGAGUUUGGGUCAUCUUAUAACAGGUGUUUUAAGAGGCUUAAAAUUGAUACCUUUUUUGUGCAUUUUUAGACGUACAAUAAAUUCUUUUUAUUCGUUUAUAUUAAUGCCAAAAUAUAUUAGAUGCGAUCAUAUCGUGUGGUACCGUGUCUAUAAAUUUUCAUGAUUUGACCUCAAAUCAGGUAAGAAUACCCGCUGAACUUAA
This 539-nucleotide ribosomal RNA is filed under the name uncultured Glomus. RNAcentral describes it as "eukaryotic LSU rRNA". The stretch from base 142 to 295 matches the Rfam family "5.8S ribosomal RNA". The record is from RNAcentral. Lineage: Eukaryota; Fungi; Glomeromycota; Glomeromycetes; Glomerales; Glomeraceae.